UCAUCGACAAGUCGAGCGAACAGAUAAGGGAGCUUGCUCCUUUGACGUUAGCGGCGGACGGGUGAGUAACACGUGGGUAACCUACCUAUAAAACUGGAAUAACUCCGGGAAACCGGGGCUAAUGCCGGAUAACAUUUAAAACCGCAGGGUUCUAAAGUGAAAGAUGGUUUUGCUAUCACUUAUAGAUGGACCCGCGCCGUAUUAGCUAGUUGGUAAGGUAAGGGCUUACCAAGGCAACGAUACGUACCCAACCUGAGAGGGUGAUCGGCCACACUGGAACUGAAACACGGUCCAAACUCCUACGGGAGGCAGCAGUAGGGAAUCUUCCGCAAUGGGCGAAAGCCUGACGGAGCAACGCCGCGUGAGUGAUGAAGGGUUUCGGCUCGUAAAACUCUGUUAUUAGGGAAAAACAAACGUGUAAGUAACUGUGCACGUCUUGACGGUACCUAAUCAAAAAGCCACGGCUAACUACGUGCCAGCAGCCGCGGUAAUACGUAGGUGGCAAGCGUUAUCCGGAAUUAUUGGGCGUAAAGCGCGCGUAGGCGGUUUCUUAAGUCUGAUGUGAAAGCCCACGGCUCAACCGUGGAGGGUCAUUGGAAACUGGGAGACUUGAGUGCAAAAGAGGAAAGUGGAAUUCCAUGUGUAGCGGUGAAAUGCGCAGAGAUAUGGAG
RNAcentral lists this ribosomal RNA (671 nucleotides) under Staphylococcus sp. Its description in RNAcentral is "bacterial SSU rRNA". It matches the Rfam family "Bacterial small subunit ribosomal RNA", at positions 53 to 703 of the family's 1533-position model. Lineage: Bacteria; Bacillati; Bacillota; Bacilli; Caryophanales; Staphylococcaceae. The record is from RNAcentral.